AUACGGAGGGUGCGAGCGUUGUUCGGAAUUAUUGGGCGUAAAGAGCAUGUAGGCGGUCUGUUAAGUCUGGUGUGAAAGCCCGGGGCUCAACCCCGGAAGUGCAUUGGAUACUGGCAGACUUGAGUAUGGGAGAGGAAAGCGGAAUUCCGAGUGUAGGAGUGAAAUCCGUAGAUAUUCGGAGGAACACCAGUGGCGAAGGCGGCUUUCUGGACCAAUACUGACGCUGAGAUGCGAAAGCGUGGGGAGCAAACAGGAUUAGAAACCCCGGUAGUCC
This 274-nucleotide ribosomal RNA is filed under the name uncultured bacterium. Its description in RNAcentral is "partial 16S ribosomal RNA". It matches the Rfam family "Bacterial small subunit ribosomal RNA", at positions 523 to 796 of the family's 1533-position model. The record is from RNAcentral.